RNAcentral lists this transfer RNA (64 nucleotides) under Hydraena nigrita. RNAcentral describes it as "tRNA-Leu". Lineage: Eukaryota; Metazoa; Arthropoda; Insecta; Coleoptera; Hydraenidae. The record is from RNAcentral.
UCUAAUAUGGCAGAUUAGUGCCAUGGAUUUAAAUCCCAUUCAUAAGGAUUUCCCUUUUUUAGAA